RNAcentral lists this ribosomal RNA (439 nucleotides) under uncultured bacterium. RNAcentral's name for it is "partial 16S ribosomal RNA". It matches the Rfam family "Bacterial small subunit ribosomal RNA", at positions 338 to 795 of the family's 1533-position model. The record is from RNAcentral.
CCUACGGGUGGCAGCAGUGGGGAAUAUUGCACAAUGGGCGAAAGCCUGAUGCAGCAACGCCGCGUGAGCGAUGAAGGCCUUCGGGACGUAAAGCUCUGUCCUCAAGGAAGAUAAUGACGGUACUUGAGGAGGAAGCCCCGGCUAACUCCGUUCCAGCAGCCGCGGUAAUACGUAGGGGGCUAGCGUUAUCCGGAAUUACUGGGCGUAAGGGGGGCGUAGGUGGUUUCUGAAGUCAGAGGUGAAAGGCUACGGCUCAACCGGAGUAAGCCUUUGAAACUGGGGAACUUGAGUGCAGGAGAGGAGAGUGGAAUUCGUAGUGUAGCGGUGAAAUGCGUAGAUAUUAGGAGGAACACCAGUUGCGAAGGCGGCUCGCUGGACUGUAACUGACACUGAGGCACGAAAGCGUGGGGAGCAAACAGGAUUAGAUACCCGAGUAGUC